ACGCUCGACACCUACGGGAGCAGCAGUAGGGAAUCUUCCACAAUGGACGCAAGUCUGAUGGAGCAACGCCGCGUGAGUGAAGAAGGUUUUCGGAUCGUAAAGCUCUGUUGUUGGUGAAGAAGGAUAGAGGUAGUAACUGGCCUUUUAUUUGACGGUAAUCAACCAGAAAGUCACGGCUAACUACGUGUCAGCAGCCGCGGUAAUCUGAGGCGGCUGGACAAGGC
This 224-nucleotide ribosomal RNA is filed under the name uncultured bacterium. Its description in RNAcentral is "partial 16S ribosomal RNA". It matches the Rfam family "Bacterial small subunit ribosomal RNA", at positions 328 to 538 of the family's 1533-position model. The record is from RNAcentral.